CACGUAGGCAGCGAGCGUUGUUCGGAAUUACUGGGCGUAAAGAGUGUGUAGGCGGUGUUCCCAGUCUGUUGUGAAAUCUCCCGGCUUAACUGGGAGGGUGCAGCGGAGACUAGAAUGCUAGAGGGUGGGAGAGGUAAGCGGAAUUCCUGGUGUAGCGGUGAAAUGCGUAGAUAUCAGGAGGAACACCUGUGGUGUAGACAGCUUACUGGACCACUUCUGACGCUGAGACACGAAAGCGUGGGUAGCAAACAGG
This 253-nucleotide ribosomal RNA is filed under the name uncultured bacterium. RNAcentral describes it as "partial 16S ribosomal RNA". It matches the Rfam family "Bacterial small subunit ribosomal RNA", at positions 524 to 776 of the family's 1533-position model. The record is from RNAcentral.